RNAcentral lists this ribosomal RNA (748 nucleotides) under Dolichospermum circinale SULS-Y1. Its description in RNAcentral is "bacterial SSU rRNA". It matches the Rfam family "Bacterial small subunit ribosomal RNA", at positions 96 to 878 of the family's 1533-position model. Lineage: Bacteria; Bacillati; Cyanobacteriota; Cyanophyceae; Nostocales; Aphanizomenonaceae. The record is from RNAcentral.
UGGCGGACGGGUGAGUAACGCGUGAGAAUCUGGCUUCAGGUCGGGGAUAACUACUGGAAACGGUGGCUAAUACCGGAUGUGCCGAGAGGUGAAAGGCUUGCUGCCUGAAGAUGAGCUCGCGUCUGAUUAGCUAGUAGGUGUGGUAAGAGCGCACCUAGGCGACGAUCAGUAGCUGGUCUGAGAGGAUGAUCAGCCACACUGGGACUGAGACACGGCCCAGACUCCUACGGGAGGCAGCAGUGGGGAAUUUUCCGCAAUGGGCGAAAGCCUGACGGAGCAAUACCGCGUGAGGGAGGAAGGCUCUUGGGUUGUAAACCUCUUUUCUCAAGGAAUAAUUAUGAAGGUACUUGAGGAAUAAGCAUCGGCUAACUCCGUGCCAGCAGCCGCGGUAAUACGGAGGAUGCAAGCGUUAUCCGGAAUGAUUGGGCGUAAAGCGUCCGCAGGUGGCGAUGUAAGUCUGCUGUUAAAGAGUGAGGCUCAACCUCAUAAGAGCAGUGGAAACUACAUGGCUAGAGUGCGUUCGGGGUAGAGGGAAUUCCUGGUGUAGCGGUGAAAUGCGUAGAGAUCAGGAAGAACACCGGUGGCGAAGGCGCUCUACUAGGCCGCAACUGACACUGAGGGACGAAAGCUAGGGGAGCGAAUGGGAUUAGAUACCCCAGUAGUCCUAGCCGUAAACGAUGGAUACUAGGCGUUGCGAGUAUCGACCCUCGCAGUGCCGGAGCCAACGCGUUAAGUAUCCCGCCUGGGG